GGCCCAGGAGCCUGGCUUCCAGUAAGGGACCUUGUUUACCAGUUCAGAACAGGAAGCCCGGGUUGGACAUUGAACAGGGGCUCAAUUAAAAGGCAAACAUGACCUCACAGGAAAUAAGGCAGAUGUGAAAGAGCCUAGCCUGUGAGUCCGUGCGCAUGCGGUUCAAGAAUCAGCUGUACUCCUCCCUCCAUGGUGAGAACGGCCAGAAGGAGAUGUGAGCACUCAACUACAGCCACAGUGGCCUGCCCUGCCUGCUGCCUGCUGCCUGCUGCCUGCUGCCUGCUGCCUGCUGCCUGCUGCCUGCUGCCUGCUGCCUGCU
This is a long non-coding RNA of Alexandromys fortis (reed vole), 319 nucleotides long. RefSeq lists it as uncharacterized. Lineage: Eukaryota; Metazoa; Chordata; Mammalia; Rodentia; Cricetidae. The transcript is spliced from 3 exons. The record is from RefSeq and is a predicted model, not a curated record.